Molecule: ribosomal RNA, 489 nt
Filed under: Ascomycota sp.
Lineage: Eukaryota; Fungi; Ascomycota
Description: LSU rRNA
Rfam family: Eukaryotic large subunit ribosomal RNA
Source: RNAcentral
UAAGUUCCUUGGAACAGGACKGCAUAGAGGGUGAGAAUCCCGUAUGCGGUCGGAAAGGCGCUCUACACGUAGCUCCUUCGACGAGUCGAGUUGUUUGGGAAUGCAGCUCUAAAUGGGAGGUAAAUUUCUUCUAAAGCUAAAUAUUGGCCAGAGACCGAUAGCGCACAAGUAGAGUGAUCGAAAGAUGAAAAGCACUUUGGAAAGAGAGUUAAAAAGCACGUGAAAUUGUUAAAAGGGAAGGGAUUGCAACCAGACUUGCUCGCGGUGUUCCGCCGGUCUUCUGACCGGUCUACUCGCCGCGUUGCAGGCCAGCAUCGUCUGGUGCCGCUGGAUAAGACUUGAGGAAUGUAGCUCCCUCGGGAGUGUUAUAGCCUCUUGUGAUGCAGCGAGCGCCGGGCGAGGUCCGCGCUUCGGCUAGGAUGCUGGCGUAAUGGUCGUAAUCCGCCCGUCUUGAAACACGGACCAAGGAGUCUAACAUCUAUGCGAGUG